UACUGUAAAUGAUGAUUGUUUAAAAAAUAACAUUGGGAAUCUCUCUGAAAAAUAAUGAAAUAAAUAUUUUUACUGAUGCAGUG
Molecule: small nucleolar RNA, 83 nt
Organism: Oncorhynchus kisutch (coho salmon)
Lineage: Eukaryota; Metazoa; Chordata; Actinopteri; Salmoniformes; Salmonidae
Gene: SNORD79
Rfam family: Small nucleolar RNA SNORD79
About the family: snoRNA U79 or Z22 is found in intron 7 of the gas5 gene in humans and is also present in mice. U79 is a member of the C/D class of snoRNA which contain C (UGAUGA) and D (CUGA) box motifs.
Source: Ensembl